AUUGAACGCUGGCGGCAUGCCUUACACAUGCAAGUCGAACGGCAGCACGGGUGCUUGCACCUGGUGGCGAGUGGCGAACGGGUGAGUAAUACAUCGGAACAUGUCCUGUAGUGGGGGAUAGCCCGGCGAAACCCGGGUUAAUACCGCAUACGAUCUACGGAUGAAAGCGGGGGACCGUAUGGCCUCGCGCUAUCAGGUUAGCCCAUGUCUGAUUAGCUAGUUGGUGGGGUAAAGGCCUACCAAGGCGACGAUCAGUAGCUGGUCUGAGAGGACGACCAGCCACACUGGGACUGAGACACGGCCCAGACUCCUACGGGAGGCAGCAGUGGGGAAUUUUGGACAAUGGGCGAAAGCCUGAUCCAGCAAUGCCGCGUGUGUGAAGAAGGCCUUCGGGUUGUAAAGCACUUUUGGCAGGGAAGAAAAACUUGGGAAUAAUAAGGCCGUGUGUUGACGGUACCGGAAGAAGAAGCACCGGCUAACUACGUG
This 486-nucleotide ribosomal RNA is filed under the name uncultured bacterium. RNAcentral describes it as "partial 16S ribosomal RNA". It matches the Rfam family "Bacterial small subunit ribosomal RNA", at positions 30 to 507 of the family's 1533-position model. The record is from RNAcentral.